Molecule: long non-coding RNA, 3196 nt
Filed under: Mytilus galloprovincialis (Mediterranean mussel)
Lineage: Eukaryota; Metazoa; Mollusca; Bivalvia; Mytilida; Mytilidae
Source: RNAcentral
AAAUCACUUUUAACCGUUACAAAUAUUAUCUCGUUAUAAUAUUUUUAGACUCAAAGGAUAUCCGUUAUUCAAAAUGAGGCAAGGGUAUGACCAUAAUUGACCUAGUACAGCGGGAUCCGAAAGGUUCUAACCAUUACGUUAAGGUGAAAUCUUUUGAAUACACACUAUGUAUAUGUACACAAACACAAUGGUAUGGUCUUUUUGGUUGCACAUCAUUCAUUUACAUAUAUCUGUUAAGCCAUCAAUGUCAAGACAAAGGUACCAAUGGCUAAAAAGUAAACAAGCUUUUAAUGUAGGCACAGUUUUGGGGGAAAUCGACUUUAACCACCCUACACUACGGCUAACUAACACCUCAUUCAAAAGACACUGAGUCAGGCAUUAUUUUUUUUUGUCUGGUCAUAAGAUUGAAAAAUAACGCAUAUUUCUGGACUUCAGGUUAUAAAAUCAUUGAUUUUUUGUGAAAGGUUAUUUUUGUAGUUAGAUAGCUGUUUCAAUGACGUAUACCGGAACACCAUAUUUCAUUUAAUCAUUAUCUUAAUAAGUAAAAAGUUUGUUUUUUUUCUUCUUCUUAAAAAAAAAAAGAUUAUCUCUGCUACUUACAUACAUAUUCGACAAACAUUGCAUCACAUUGACGUCAAAUGACAAUGAUAUAAAACUACCAAUAAUGACGGCGUUUAUAAAGAUUAAAUGAAUUAACUAAUGAUAGAGUCUAUCGGCAUCAGGACAAGAUAUACAAGUCUUGUUACGGUAGCUACUCAAAUUGAAUAGACAAUCUUAAACCAAGAACAACAGAUCACUGAUGCUCCCUUAUAUAUGUCGUGUACAAGUUGCAAUUUUGUACAGGUUAUAACAUGUACAAAAAUAUUGUACAUGUUAUAACUUGUAUAAUGCAAAAAUACAAGUUAUAACAUGUACAAAAGUACCUCAUACAUGUUACAACCUGUACAAAAUAUUGCUUAAAAAUGGUUUUAACUUGUACAAAAUCGAAAAAUAAGGAUAUUUUUCUAUUAUCGCAACAGAUGAUAUUGACCUCAACAACAUUUUCAUAACUUAUUUAUUAUUCCUUCAUGUUAGUGUGUUUUUUUUUCUUUUUUGAGACAGUUAAUGUCCAGGAGUCGGUAUUACAAAGCAUUCCUGAGACCUGUCAUAAGAUAUAUCUUAGGACAUGUCUUAUGAUCCUCUUAUGACUAUCUAUGGACAUAUCUUUAUUUGAUGAAUUAUAAUUGUGAGUGUCCACUUUGAAGGCAAUAGUAAAAUACUUUCGUUCUAGUUGACACUAAAAGACAUAAGAGGAUAGCCAGAAUAGAUGUGUCUACAAAUAAAAUUGGGAAUUGAAACGGGGUAUGUGUCUAAAAGACAACAACCCGGCCAUGGAGCAGACAACAUCCAAAGGCCACAAAUACAUCAAAGUAGAGGAUAUAUAUUUAAAACAUCAAAAUGACAUUUGCCUCAUGCCAUGAUCUUAUAGUUUAUAAACAAAAAUUGAGUUAUAAAUUUACAUAAGUCAUGCUGAAGGCCAAAAAUGCUGAAGAGUAGAUCCAAAGAUAUUGAUAAUGAAGCGUGGUCUGAUGAAAACUAUUUCCUCUCUCUCUUGCUUUUACAUGGUAAGCAUAUAAGACAUUGUUUUAGUCUUUGCAUGCUAUAAAAAAUUGAGAGGGAGGAGUAUUUCCCAAAAUUAUUAGGAAUCGUUCUUAAACUUUUUUGGAAGAAUUAAUUACUACUAAUGUAAUUGUCAUUGAGGAAUGCAAGCUUUGAGUAAAUUGUUUCACACUUAUUUAAGCCAUAAUGGGUAUAAAACAUAUAAUUACACGAAAACACAUUUUGCCAACAUAAGUCAUGAAACAUAUAUUUCUGAAACUUUUUGAUCAUUGUUCUCUAAAGAAAAAGACAUGUUCUGGCCUAUUUAUUGUUGUUCUUUAUGCAUGUUAUGCAUUGGUGAAUUUAAAUGUAUAUUUUACUUCAUUAAGAUUUAUUUUAAAUUUUGUACAAAUUAAAAACAUUUUUAAGCAAUAUUUUGUACAGGUUAUAACAUGUAUGAGGUACUUUUGUACAUGUUAUAACUUGUGUUUUUGCAUUAUACAAGUUAUAACAUGUACAAAAUCGCAACUUGUACACGACAUAUACACCAUACAUAUUGAGAAUUGUUUGACGUAUUGUGAAGAGUUUUAUGUGGUCCCUUUCUGUAUGUAUCACAACUGUGUCAUAGUUAAUCCUUACUAGCAUCUGUGUUCAAAUUGAAAGACGAACACGUUGUUAUGCCCCACCUACGAUAGUAGAGGGGCAUUAUGUUUUCUGGUCUAUGCCUCCAUUCGUCCGUCUGUCCGUCCGUUCGCUUCAGGUUAAAGUUUUUGGUCGAGGUAGUUUUUGAUGAAGCUGAAGUCCAAUCAACUUGAAACUUAAUACACAUGUUCCCCAUGAUAUGAUGUUUCUAAUUUUAAUGCCAAAUUAUAGUUUUGACCCCAAUUUCAUGGUCCACUGAACAUAGAAAAUGAUAGUGCAAAGUUCAGGUUGAAGUUUUUGGUCAAGGUAGUUUUUGAUGAAGUUAAAGUUACAUCAACUUGAAACUUAGUACACAUGUUCCCUAUGAUAUGAUCUUUUUAAUUUUAAUUCCAAAUUAAAGUUUUGACCCCAAUUUCACGGUCCACUGAACAUAGAAAAUGAUAGUGGGAGUGGGGCAUCCGUGUACUAUGGACACAUUCUUUUCUUGUUUCUAAUAUUUUGGAUAUAUGAUUGAUACAUUUGUAUUUUAUUCACGGCUUGUUUCACUCUAACUUUUACAUUUUUAGGUUACAUUUGAGCAUGUUUUGGCAGAAGCAGAAGGUGUUCACAGUUUAGACUGCACAUGGAACUGUGUUCACAGUACUUAUACCGGAGCUCGUAACUGUUGCUAUGCAACGCUGACAUUUGUAAUAGGAUUGUGUUGCGCACUUUGUUGGGGUUGCCAUUUUGGCGUAGUUUCGUUUUUCAAUGUAUGGUGUAUAUCACCUACAUUAAGUGUCGUGGCAUAUAUGUUGGAAUGUUGCUACAGCAUAAUUGGUAACAUUGUCAUAUGUAUCUUUGCGCCUAUAUGCGACACGUGUGGCAUCAUGUUUACACAUAUUCAAAUAGAAAGACACAAUAUUCUUAAUGCAGAUUUCGUUUAAGCCAUUUUUGUAUAAUUAAAUAUUCCAAUAAAUUGCAUUUUUUGAAAAAUAGC